This is a small nuclear RNA of Protopterus annectens (West African lungfish), 163 nucleotides long. RefSeq annotates it as U1 spliceosomal RNA. NCBI's taxonomy places the organism in Eukaryota, Metazoa, Chordata, Ceratodontiformes, Protopteridae. The transcript has a single exon. The record is from RefSeq and is a predicted model, not a curated record.
AUACUUAUCUGCUAGGGGACAGACUGCAGUCAAGAAGGUGGUUCUCUCUGGGCGAGUCAUCUCUAUUGAACUUUGGAUGGGUUGGCCUCUGUGGCUUCCCUAAAUGCAGAAAACCUGACAGCAUUAUUUAUGGAAGUGGAGACUGUAUUCUUGCUCCUCACUG